RNAcentral lists this transfer RNA (72 nucleotides) under Camelus ferus (Wild Bactrian camel). It matches the Rfam family "tRNA". From Rfam's summary of the family: Transfer RNA (tRNA) molecules are approximately 80 nucleotides in length. Their secondary structure includes four short double-helical elements and three loops (D, anti-codon, and T loops). The record is from Rfam by way of RNAcentral. Lineage: Eukaryota; Metazoa; Chordata; Mammalia; Artiodactyla; Camelidae.
GAGGAUAUAGCUUGGUGAUAGAACACAUGCUUCACAUGCAUGAGAUCCUGGAUUCAAUCCCCAGUACCUCCA